GUUAAUCCCGAGCCCUGUAGCUGGGCUGUAAAUCCCACGCUAGUAUUUUCCAUGCAGAAGGGAAGCGCGCCAAUCCACGAAAAACCACCAAGCAAAAAGAAAACAUUUUGUGUGUUUUGUAAAAUCCGCAAGAGAGGCAAUUAAUAUUCCCGCUGUAUGACUUUAUUUUUUGUCUCUCCCUUUUGUUUCCAGUGCCCUUCCCUGGCUCAGCGCCCGGUGCCAACAGAACACCUUGCAGGAUCCUCAGCAGUGCAGACAACACUCCAAGAUGCCAGCCUCGGCUUGGAACGGAGCGGUGUCAUGGCGGAGACGACGGCCUUUGUCUCACAGGGUGUGAAAGCAUCCGUUGUGCUGGCUCCACUGCGGCAGAGUGACGUUUAAAGGGGGGAAAAAGUGCUGAAGGUCCGAGUUGAGCAGCGCUGGCAGGGGAGCCCCUAUCCCCACGGUGGUGUGCGUCCAAGGAAGGGCUUGCAGCGGAGGAGCCUGGUCUCCGCCUGGCACAGCUCUGCUGCCUGGUGUAGGGGGGCAGGGAAGAGCCCGCAGCAAAGCCCGGGACUGCAAAGGACGGACGGAUGGACGUUGGCGUGCGGCUGGGGCGCUCCUGCCUCAUCCUCCCGACGUGUCACCACUAGAAUUUGCUAUAAACAAUCAAAGCGACCCCUCCCUUCGUCUCUCCUGCCCUCCCUCCUCACAGCAGGGUGAGCUCUGUUGAAGUUGCAGCAGGGACGCUGUGCCCCUUGAGCUUAGCACAGCACGUGAGUGACCACUGCUGAGGUGGGGCAGUGGAGGACACUGACUGGGGUAGGCUCGUCCUGUCAUCAGGGCUCCUUUUAGAUUCUUUAAUGGCCUCAGAUACAUUGCUUGGGGUUAAGCAUCUCAACCAGGGGAAAGUUAGUUUGUAAUUACAAGAGAAAUAAACCAUGUGAGGGA
Molecule: long non-coding RNA, 930 nt
Filed under: Strigops habroptila (Kakapo)
Lineage: Eukaryota; Metazoa; Chordata; Aves; Psittaciformes; Psittacidae
Description: lncRNA (ENSSHBG00005019034.1)
Source: RNAcentral